RNAcentral lists this ribosomal RNA (497 nucleotides) under uncultured bacterium. Its description in RNAcentral is "partial 16S ribosomal RNA". It matches the Rfam family "Bacterial small subunit ribosomal RNA", at positions 28 to 507 of the family's 1533-position model. The record is from RNAcentral.
GAUGAACGCUGGCGGCGUGCCUAAUACAUGCAAGUCGAACGAACGGACGAGAACCUUUGUCCUCUGAUGUUAGCGCCCGACGGGUGAGUAACACGUGGAUAACCUAACUAUCAGACUGGGAUAACAUCGGGAAACCAGAUCUACUACCGGAUAAUAUUUUGAACCGCAUGGUUCACGAGUGAAAGUAGGUCUUGCUGACACUAAUAGAUGGAUCCGCGGUGCAUUAGCUAGUUGUUAAGGUAAAGGCUUACCAAGCCAACGAUACAUAGCCGACCUCAGAGGGUGAUGGGCCACACCGGAACUGAGACACGGUCCAGACUCCUACGGGAGGCGGCAGGAGGGAAUCUUCCGCGAUGGGCGAAAGCCGGAAGGAGCAAACCCGCGGGAGUGAUGAAGGUCAUCGGAUCCUAGAACUCUGUUAUUGGGGAAGGGAAUAAAUGUACGUAACUGUGGGCAGCUUGACGGUACCUAAUCAGAAAGCCACGGCGAACUACGUG